AUUGAACGCUGGCGGCAGGCCUAACACAUGCAAGUCGAGCGGAUGAAGGGAGCUUGCUCCUGGAUUCAGCGGCGGACGGGUGAGUAAUGCCUAGGAAUCUGCCUGGUAGUGGGGGAUAACGUCCGGAAACGGGCGCUAAUACCGCAUACGUCCUGAGGGAGAAAGUGGGGGAUCUUCGGACCUCACGCUAUCAGAUGAGCCUAGGUCGGAUUAGCUAGUUGGUGGGGUAAAGGCCUACCAAGGCGACGAUCCGUAACUGGUCUGAGAGGAUGAUCAGUCACACUGGAACUGAGACACGGUCCAGACUCCUACGGGAGGCAGCAGUGGGGAAUAUUGGACAAUGGGCGAAAGCCUGAUCCAGCCAUGCCGCGUGUGUGAAGAAGGUCUUCGGAUUGUAGAGCACUUUAAGUUGGGAGGAAGGGCAGUAAGUUAAUACCUUGCCGUUUUGACGUUACCAACAGAAUAAGCACCGGCUAACUUCGUG
RNAcentral lists this ribosomal RNA (484 nucleotides) under uncultured bacterium. Its description in RNAcentral is "partial 16S ribosomal RNA". It matches the Rfam family "Bacterial small subunit ribosomal RNA", at positions 30 to 507 of the family's 1533-position model. The record is from RNAcentral.